GCUGGAUGUGGUGGUGUAUUUCUGUAAUCCCAGGUACUUGGGAAGCUGGGGCAGGAGCAUCACAAGUUUGAGGCUAGCCUAGGCAACUUAGUGAGACCCUGUCUCAA
Molecule: small RNA, 107 nt
Filed under: Marmota monax (woodchuck)
Lineage: Eukaryota; Metazoa; Chordata; Mammalia; Rodentia; Sciuridae
Source: RNAcentral